AGAGUUUGAUCCUGGCUCAGGAUGAACGCUAGCUACAGGCUUAACACAUGCAAGUCGAGGGGAACGACAUCGAAAGCUUGCUUUUGAUGGGCGUCGACCGGCGCACGGGUGAGUAACGCGUAUCCAACCUGCCCAUCACUUGGGGAUAACCUUGCGAAAGUAAGACUAAAUACCCAAUGACGUCUCUAGAAGACAUCUGAAAGAGAUUAAAGAUUUAUCGGUGAUGGAUGGGGAUGCGUCUGAUUAGCUUGUUGGCGGGGUAACGGCCACCAAGGCGACGAUCAGUAGGGGUUCUGAGAGGAAGGUCCCCACGAUUGGAACUGAGACACGGUCCAAACUCCUACGGCAGGCA
This 352-nucleotide ribosomal RNA is filed under the name uncultured bacterium. Its description in RNAcentral is "bacterial SSU rRNA". It matches the Rfam family "Bacterial small subunit ribosomal RNA", at positions 8 to 350 of the family's 1533-position model. The record is from RNAcentral.